RNAcentral lists this ribosomal RNA (253 nucleotides) under uncultured bacterium. RNAcentral describes it as "partial 16S ribosomal RNA". It matches the Rfam family "Bacterial small subunit ribosomal RNA", at positions 524 to 776 of the family's 1533-position model. The record is from RNAcentral.
UACGUAGGGUGCAAGCGUUGUCCGGAAUUAUUGGGCGUAAAGAGCUCGUAGGCGGUCUGUCGCGUCGGACGUGAAAAUCCAGGGCUCAACCCUGGACCUGCGUUCGAUACGGGCAGACUAGAGUUCGGUAGGGGAGACUGGAAUUCCUGGUGUAGCGGUGAAAUGCGCAGAUAUCAGGAGGAACACCGGUGGCGAAGGCGACAUCCUGGACCGGUAUUGACGCUGAGGCGCGAAAGCCAGGGGAGCAAACGGG